Molecule: ribosomal RNA, 506 nt
Filed under: uncultured bacterium
Lineage: Bacteria
Description: partial 16S ribosomal RNA
Rfam family: Bacterial small subunit ribosomal RNA
Source: RNAcentral
GAUGAACGCUAGCUACAGGCUUAACACAUGCAAGUCGAGGGGUAACGAGAGGAAAGCUUGCUUUCCUUGUCGACGACCGGCGCACGGGUGAGUAACGCGUAUCCAACCUGCCCCCAACUAGGGAAUAACCUUGCGAAAGUAAGACUAAUACCCUACAAUUUCCUCAGGUGUCAUCUGACGAGGAAUAAAGAUUUAUCGGUUGUGGAUGGGGAUGCGUCUGAUUAGCUUGUUGGCGGGGUAAAGGCCCACCAAGGCAACGAUCAGUAGGGGUUCUGAGAGGAAGGUCCCCCAAAUUGGAACUGAGACACGGUCCAAACUCCUACGGGAGGCAGCAGUGAGGAAUAUUGGUCAAUGGGCGGAAGCCUGAACCAGCCAAGUAGCGUGCAGGAUGACGGCCCUAUGGGUUGUAAACUGCUUUUAUACAGGAAUAAAGUUAGCCACGUGUGGUUAUUUGUAGGUACUGUAUGAAUAAGGACCGGCUAAUUCCGUGCCAGCCGCCGCAGUAA